UGGGCAACCUGCCCCUCUCUCUGGGAUAACCCCGGGAAACCGGAGCUAAUACCGGAUACUCCGGCUGGAUCGCAUGGUCCGGCCGGGAAAGGUCCGCCGGAGAGGGAUGGGCCCGCGGCCUAUCAGCUUGUUGGUGGGGUCAUGGCUCACCAAGGCGACGACGGGUAGCUGGUCUGAGAGGACGACCAGCCACACUGGAACUGAGAUAGGUCCAGACUCCUACGGGAGGCA
Molecule: ribosomal RNA, 231 nt
Filed under: uncultured bacterium
Lineage: Bacteria
Description: partial 16S ribosomal RNA
Rfam family: Bacterial small subunit ribosomal RNA
Source: RNAcentral